RNAcentral lists this long non-coding RNA (379 nucleotides) under Crocodylus porosus (Australian saltwater crocodile). RNAcentral's name for it is "lncRNA (ENSCPRG00005013527.1)". Lineage: Eukaryota; Metazoa; Chordata; Crocodylia; Crocodylidae. The record is from RNAcentral.
AAAAAGGUUCCAACAACAGAUGAGGAAAAUGGUAAUUUGGAAAUGAGUUCAAAGUCUGGAGAGAUACAAAAAGCUAGAUGGUGCCGUGAAUAACAAGUGCAUGGGAUGGUGGGAGUUGCAUAUUCUUUGGUUCCACUGUAGCAGUAGGUUUCAGAUGUAUUUGCUGCACUUCCUAGAGCCAAGAACAUACUCUCUCUAUAUACUUAAUGCAUCACAAGAUACUCUGAAUAUUGUGGAAGGAAGCCCAACAACCUGCUCUAUAUCCCAUCCAUUGCAAACAGGAACUUUCCUGCACUCCAUUACAAGAUACUGAAUCCUCCUUGAGCAGUCAGUCCCCCUGUUAUUCUCCCAAGCUAACAGAGAGUUGUGUCAGCACUGG